RNAcentral lists this transfer RNA (49 nucleotides) under Talpa aquitania. RNAcentral describes it as "partial tRNA-Thr". Lineage: Eukaryota; Metazoa; Chordata; Mammalia; Eulipotyphla; Talpidae. The record is from RNAcentral.
GUCUUUGUAGUAUAACUAUUACCCUGGUCUUGUAAACCAGCAAUGGAGA